AUGCUUACUCUCGUCCCUAAGGAACCUGAUGCAACUUCCAUGAAAAAGUUUAGACCCAUCAGCUUGCUUAACUGUGGUUUUAAAUUUUUUACUAAGGUCCUCACCAACAGGCUGACUAGGAUCCUCCAGAGGCUGAUUGCCAGUAACCAAUCUGCCUUCCUCAAAGGCAGAUACAUUCUGGAGAGCGUGGUCACUGCCCAUGAAGUAGUGCACUCAGUCCAUUCUGGGAAAAAACAAGGUUUGGUUUUGAAACUGGAUUAUGAAAAAGCCUUUGAUAAAGUAGACCUUGGUUUCCUCCUGGACCUCCUCAAAAAAAGAGGCUUUGAUGAUAUUUGGAUUAAUUGGAUUCAGCAGAUCACUCAUAAUGGCUCGGUUGGGGUCAAAAUUAACAAUACUGAAGGUGAUGAGGCUGAUUCUAAAAACUAUCAAGAACUAGGUGAUCCUGUCCUCGGAUGGGGCGGCAGAAAGGCUGGAGGCCUUCACAACACACCUCGCGACCAAUCUGAGACAACCACUGAUGAUCAGUGGCUGAUCAUGAAGCACGCUGGAGCACCGUUGGUGACUCCAUGGGACAAGCUGAAGAUCUCGGACGACGCAGUGGGCUUCUCGUCCCCCUCCAAGAAGCGUUCAGAAGCUACAUCGAUGCCGAGUCCAACCUCGACCCUGGUGGCUGCCUGGUCCCCUCAAGCGGUGACUGCACCGCCGCUGAAAGCGUGCAAGGCAUCCCAGGAGCUGAUCUGCAUUUGA
RNAcentral lists this ribosomal RNA (747 nucleotides) under Triticum aestivum (bread wheat). RNAcentral describes it as "partial small subunit ribosomal RNA". The record is from RNAcentral. Lineage: Eukaryota; Viridiplantae; Streptophyta; Magnoliopsida; Poales; Poaceae.